GUGAAUCAUCAAAUCUUUGAACGCGAAUUGCACUCUCUUCGGAGAGUAUGCCUGUCUGAGGGCCAGCCUAAAAAAAAACGACAUAGUGGCUGUUUCGCGGUAACAUUGGUCGGAAAUUGGGUUAUCUUAAACCUUUGGGUAUUAAGCGUAUUAAAAUUUUUUUUACGAUUUUAGGAAGGAUUCUAAGAUUUAUUAACUCGUUUAAGGUA
Molecule: unclassified non-coding RNA, 209 nt
Filed under: Glomus sp.
Lineage: Eukaryota; Fungi; Glomeromycota; Glomeromycetes; Glomerales; Glomeraceae
Description: partial contains 5.8S ribosomal RNA and internal transcribed spacer 2
Rfam family: 5.8S ribosomal RNA (bases 1-65)
Source: RNAcentral